UACGAAGGGGGCUAGCGUUGUUCGGAAUUACUGGGCGUAAAGCGCGCGCAGGCGGCUAUCCAAGUCAGUGGUGAAAGCCCGGAGCUCAACUCCGGAACUGCCAUUGAAACUGUUUAGCUUGAGUAUGAGAGAGGUGAGUGGAAUUCCCAGUGUAGAGGUGAAAUUCGUAGAUAUUGGGAGGAACACCAGUGGCGAAGGCGGCUCACUGGACCGGUACUGACGCUGAGGCGCGAAAGCGUGGGGAGCAAACGGG
This 253-nucleotide ribosomal RNA is filed under the name uncultured bacterium. RNAcentral's name for it is "partial 16S ribosomal RNA". It matches the Rfam family "Bacterial small subunit ribosomal RNA", at positions 524 to 776 of the family's 1533-position model. The record is from RNAcentral.